This 415-nucleotide ribosomal RNA is filed under the name uncultured bacterium. RNAcentral's name for it is "bacterial SSU rRNA". It matches the Rfam family "Bacterial small subunit ribosomal RNA", at positions 355 to 786 of the family's 1533-position model. The record is from RNAcentral.
UCGGGAAUAUUGCGCAAUGGAGGAAACUCUGACGCAGUGACGCCGCGUGCAGGAAGAAGGUUUUCGGAUUGUAAACUGCUUUAGACAGGGAAGAAAAAAGACAGUACCUGUAGAAUAAGCUCCGGCUAACUACGUGCCAGCAGCCGCGGUAAUACGUAGGGAGCGAGCGUUAUCCGGAUUUAUUGGGUGUAAAGGGUGCGUAGACGGGAAGAUAAGUUAGUUGUGAAAUCCCUCGGCUCAACUGAGGAACUGCAACUAAAACUGUCACUCUUGAGUACUGGAGAGGAAAGUGGAAUUCCUAGUGUAGCGGUGAAAUGCGUAGAUAUUAGGAGGAACACCAGUGGCGAAGGCGACUUUCUGGACAGAAACUGACGUUGAGGCACGAAAGUGUGGGGAGCAAACAGGAUUAGAUACC